Molecule: ribosomal RNA, 402 nt
Filed under: uncultured bacterium
Lineage: Bacteria
Description: bacterial SSU rRNA
Rfam family: Bacterial small subunit ribosomal RNA
Source: RNAcentral
GAGGGAUAUUGGUCAAUGGGCGCAAGCCUGAACCAGCGACGCCGCGUGGGUGAAGAAGGUCUUCGGAUCGUAAAGCCCUUUUCCCACUGAAGAGGAAGGACGGUAGGUGGGGAAGAAGUCUCGGCUAACUACGUGCCAGCAGCCGCGGUAAAACGUAGGAGACAAGCGUUAUCCGGAGUUACUGGGCGUAAAGGGCGUGCAGGUGGCGUCUUAAGUCUGUUGUGAAAGCGCCUGGCUUAACCGGGCGAGGCCAAUGGAGACCGAGAGGCUGGAGGACGGCGGAGGGGUGUGGAAUUCCUGGUGUGGUGGUGAAAUGCGUAGAGAUCCGGAGGAACACCAGAGGCGAAGGCGGCACUCUAAGCCGUACCUGACACUGAGACGCGACAGCACGGGGAGCAAACG